This 194-nucleotide ribosomal RNA is filed under the name uncultured bacterium. Its description in RNAcentral is "partial 16S ribosomal RNA". It matches the Rfam family "Bacterial small subunit ribosomal RNA", at positions 338 to 524 of the family's 1533-position model. The record is from RNAcentral.
CCUACGGGAGGCAGCAGUGGGGAAUAUUGGACAAUGGGCGCAAGCCUGAUCCAGCAACGCCGCGUGGAGGAAGAAGGUCUUCGGAUCGUAAACUCCUGUCAGGUGGGAAGAAAGACCGCUGGCAAAUAGCCGGCGGCCUUGACUGUACCAUCAGAGGAAGCCCCGGCUAACUCCGUGCCAGCAGCCGCGGUAAU